RNAcentral lists this ribosomal RNA (377 nucleotides) under uncultured eukaryote. RNAcentral describes it as "partial 18S ribosomal RNA". It matches the Rfam family "Eukaryotic small subunit ribosomal RNA", at positions 592 to 976 of the family's 1831-position model. The record is from RNAcentral.
CAAUAGCGUAUAUUUAAGUUGCUGCAGUUAAAAAGCUCGUAGUUGGAUUUCGGGUGGGAAUGGCCGGUCCGCCGUUUCGGUGUGCACUUGCUACGCCCACCUUGCUGCCGGGGACGUGCUCUUGAGUUCACGCUCGGGACACGGAGUCGGCGAGGUUACUUUGAGUAAAUUAGAGUGUUCAAAGCAGGCCUACGCUCUGAAUACAUUAGCAUGGAAUAACACGAUAGGACUCUGGCCUAUCUUGUUGGUCUGUAGGACCGGAGUAAUGAUUAAGAGGGACAGUCGGGGGCAUUCGUAUUUCAUUGUCAGAGGUGAAAUUCUUGGAUUUAUGAAAGACGAACUACUGCGAUAGCAUUUGCCAAGGAUGUUUUCAUUAA